AGAGUUUGAUCCUGGCUCAGGAUCAACGCUGGCGGCGUGCCUAAUGCAUGCAAGUCGCACGGGUGUCCUUCGGGAUACCAGUGGCGAACGGCUGAGGAACACGUACGAACCUGCCCUGCGCUGGGGAAUAACUCCACGAAAGUGGUGCUAAUACCGCGUACGCUUGCGCAAGCAAGGAAAGCCGAAAGGCGGCGGAGGAGGGGCGUGCGGCCCAUCAGGUAGUUGGCGGGGUAAUGGCCCACCAAGCCGGUGACGGGUAGCUGGUCUGUGAGGACGAUCAGCCAGACUGGGACUGCGACACGGCCCAGACACCUACGGGUGGCAGCAGCAAGGAAUCUUCCACAAUGGGCGCAAGCCCGAUGGAGCAACGCCGCGUGCAGGAUGACGGCUUUCGGGUUGUAAACUGCUUUGAGGGGGGAGGAUAUAGACAGUACCCCCAAAACCAGCCCCGGCUAACUCUGUGCCAGCAGCCGCGGUAAGACAGAGGGGGCAAGCGUUGUCCGGAAUGACUGGGCGUACAGCGCGCGCAGGCGGUUAUGGACGUGCUGUGUGACAGCGCGGGGCUCAACCCCGCGUCGCCACGGUAGACGCCAUGACUGGAGUGGGUGAGAGGGAUGUGGAAUGCCCGGUGGAGCGGUGAAAUGCGUAGAGAUCGGGCGGAACACCAGUGGCGCAAGCGGCAUCCUGGCACCAAACUGACGCUGAGGCGCGAGAGCGUGGGGAGCAAACGGGAUUAGAUACCCCAGUAGUCC
This 752-nucleotide ribosomal RNA is filed under the name uncultured Chloroflexota bacterium. RNAcentral's name for it is "bacterial SSU rRNA". It matches the Rfam family "Bacterial small subunit ribosomal RNA", at positions 8 to 796 of the family's 1533-position model. The record is from RNAcentral. Lineage: Bacteria; Bacillati; Chloroflexota.